ACUCAGCCAUACUGGGGGAGAUGACCCAACUUCAGUUCUAUUCCAGAUGAAGAGUAACUAGAAAAAAUAUGUAUCUCUGAACAUUAGAAUCACACUCAGCCUGAUGAGAUGCUCACACCGAGGAAUACCGGAAGUGAGACUGACUAAACGGACCUGAGGUAGAGGACAGGCAUAAAACUGCCUGCCCUUGUUUUCCCCAUCCUUCCCCACAACUCGGAGAAUGCAGAGGCGGUUGUGUUUACUGCAGCGAGGGCUGUCAGGAUUUAAGGAUUAUUUCGAGGAUUAAAACAAACAAAAGUGAAAUGACUCAUUCUGGACGGCCCCAGGUGGUUCUGAAAUCCUGAGACUGAAAACUCCAAGAAGCAACCAAGAGACAAGGACAUGGUGUCAGUACUUGCACUGGUGAUUAAAGACAGAUCUUCAACAUCCCUGACGGCAGCAAAUAUGUCUAUGAUAGUAACACGGGGUGAAGCGGCUGAGUGGAAGAAGAUAUAGAGUGCUGUAGAGAAAAGUAUUGGAGAACAAGAAGAGUGAUGCAGAAAAUGAAACGCAGGGACACAAAGAAAAAGCACGCAGUUCUGGACAUAUUUAUGAAGACUUAAGCUGGGACUUCCUCUGCACACCAGCUCCCUCCCCUGCCCCCAGCUCUACAGACAUGACCGCACUUCCCACCUCCCGGGUUUCCCACAGCCGAGUGGUGCCCUGAGUCUCUUCCUAUGUCCAAUCCUAUGGUUUUGUUUCCUUUGCUUUUUCUUUCCUGCCCACUUUGUAGUUAUAGGUAUUUGCUGAAGCUCAGACCUUGGCUCAUUUCCUUUCUCAUUCUUACUGAACUGAGAAGUUGGAAUGCUUCAAUCAACAGCACUGUGCCGACAGCCUCUCUCAUCCUGGAUCGCAGCCCCUAAGACAUGUCUUCCUGGAUAUUCCAGGGUUCUUUCACAUAUCUAACACAUACUGCAUCUUCACUGCUGCAUCCCAAUUUUCCCAGACCCACAAUGUGAAAAUUUUUAUUAUUUGGUCCUGAAACCUUUUGCAUCAUCCUACCUAUCAAAUCUGCCACAGUCCUUGUUGACUUUUAAAAAGUUUUACUAGGGUACCACGUCCAGUGUCUUGACCCCAGGCUGGUAACCAUCGCUUGCCCAUUACUCUGCACCAGCUUCUUUACAUGCAUUUUCAGUCUCUUCGUUUUCCAUGUUAACUAUGCUACAAUCAACUAAAAGUCCUUAAUGUGCUAAUUUAGGAAAGACCUUAACCAUUCUCCAAACUACUAAUGACCCCCACCAUUUGAUCCCACUCUCCCUGUAAAACUAGCUUUUAUUAUUCCACAACGUGGAGCCUCUGUUGGGGUUGGCCAGUAUUCUCAUCAUCCCUCCACCAUGCCAUGUUUAUUAAUGAGUCAAGGUUUGUGGCCAUGCUCCUUUUUUCCAAUUAAAUACUGUUUGCUUUAUCGUUUAAUCAAAAUUCUAUUUUUUAAGGUAAAUUUCAAAUGAUACUUUUUUUAAGUCUAGUCAAGUACAGUAGGGAGAAGGGGGGAAAGAGUGGAACAAG
Molecule: long non-coding RNA, 1545 nt
Filed under: Homo sapiens (human)
Lineage: Eukaryota; Metazoa; Chordata; Mammalia; Primates; Hominidae
Description: HSALNT0323783
Source: RNAcentral